CGGACGGGUGAGUACGACGUGGAAACCUGCCGUAGUACGUGGGGGAACUUAACAACUUAGAAAUAGGUGCUAAUACCGCAUAAGCGCACAGCUUCGCAUGAAGCGGUGUGAAAAACUCUGGUGGUAUACGAUGGUUCCGCGUCUGAUUAGCUAGUUGGUGGGGUAAUGGCCUACCAAGGCAACGAUCAGUAGCCGGCCUGAGAGGGUGAACGGCCACAUUGGGACUGAGACACGGCCCAAACUCCUACGGGAGGCAGCAG
Molecule: ribosomal RNA, 260 nt
Filed under: uncultured bacterium
Lineage: Bacteria
Description: partial 16S ribosomal RNA
Rfam family: Bacterial small subunit ribosomal RNA
Source: RNAcentral